AUGCCAUUAGCUCCAAUUGGUAGAGCAACCGAAUAAAAUCGGUGUGUGUCGGUUCGAAUCCGGCAUGGUAUA
Molecule: transfer RNA, 72 nt
Filed under: Pedobacter zeae
Lineage: Bacteria; Pseudomonadati; Bacteroidota; Sphingobacteriia; Sphingobacteriales; Sphingobacteriaceae
Description: tRNA-Leu
Rfam family: tRNA
About the family: Transfer RNA (tRNA) molecules are approximately 80 nucleotides in length. Their secondary structure includes four short double-helical elements and three loops (D, anti-codon, and T loops).
Source: RNAcentral